GGAACCAAGAACCACAACAUUCUUUUCCUUUCUGAGGUCGUAGCCGCUGUGAGUCUUAGCUUCUCUCUGCAUCUGUGAGGUCAUCUCCCUUUCUGUAGAGCAUAUGAUCUUUACUGAUGCACCUGCAUCUGGCUCAGACUUAGUCACCCAGCCCUGAAAUUAUAUCAUAUCACAGGUCAUUCUCUGAGUCUCUUAAUGUGAGGCCUUGAGAGAAAAAUCAACAUGCCUUCUGUUGGAUGAAGACCAAUCAGCAAGAUGGUGUCCCCUUUUUAUAGAGUCGUUGCAAGGAUCAAGUGAGUUGAAAUCCGUAAGGUGCUUGGGAGAAUGCCUGGCGCCUGGAAGCACUGUAUAUUCCAAAAAAGGAGAUAUAAACAUGACCAUAAAAGACAUGAAAAGAUGUUUAACCCCAUUAGUCAUCGUGGAAAUGCAAAUGAAAACCACCAUACAGACACUAGAGUGGUUUAAAUUUGAAUGACUUCCAACACCAAAUGCCAGACAGGACAUAGAGCAACUGGAUGUCUCAUGCUCACAGGCAGAAGGGAAAACUACUGUGUGUGACAGGAAGAUGGACUUACCCAACCUUCAGCAUUCUCAAUCUCUUGUCUAUUAACAUGUGUUUGAAACAUUAUGCAUUCAAAGCAAACAUCUGGGAGGAAGAUGGGAGAAGCCUUCUUGCCCCUGUUCUACAGAAGUAAUUGAAGUUCAUGACAUUCAAGCUCAUUCACCAGCCAUCAAGUGCCUUAGAAAAUGCCAGUACUGAAAGUUCUAUGCACUCCAAGGUUGCAGAGAAAGGCAGAGAACCUGCAAUAUGCCUAGAGGAUGUCCUGCAUCCUCUACAGCCAGCGUUCCCUGCUUCCGUAGGAAAGCAGAAUAGCACGUUGCUUACAUCUUGCAUGAUAUGGCAAUUACCAUGAGGCAGAAGAGC
RNAcentral lists this long non-coding RNA (925 nucleotides) under Homo sapiens (human). RNAcentral's name for it is "HSALNT0325022". Lineage: Eukaryota; Metazoa; Chordata; Mammalia; Primates; Hominidae. The record is from RNAcentral.